Molecule: ribosomal RNA, 253 nt
Filed under: uncultured bacterium
Lineage: Bacteria
Description: partial 16S ribosomal RNA
Rfam family: Bacterial small subunit ribosomal RNA
Source: RNAcentral
GACAGAGGGGGCAAGCGUUGCUCGGAAUCACUGGGCGUAAAGGGCGCGUAGGCGGGAUGGCAAGUCGGUCGUGAAAUCUCUCGGCUCAACCGAGAAACGUCGGCCGAUACUGCCGUUCUUGAGGGAUGCAGAGGAGACUGGAAUUCCCGGUGUAGCGGUGAAAUGUGUAGAGAUCGGGAGGAACACCGGUGGCGAAGGCGGGUCUCUGGGCAUUUCCUGACGCUGAGGCACGAAGGCCAGGGGAGCAAACGGG